Molecule: small RNA, 959 nt
Filed under: Pongo abelii (Sumatran orangutan)
Lineage: Eukaryota; Metazoa; Chordata; Mammalia; Primates; Hominidae
Description: retained intron
Source: RNAcentral
ACCGCGGCUUCCUUCCGUCUCGCCCCGAGUUUCCCUCUGCGUUCGCUGCGCGCUGCUGGAGGCUGUGGUCGCAAUGCUCCCCAAACGGCGGCGAGGGCGGAUCGAGUCCCCUAGCGGCGAUGCCGUUUCCUCCACGCCGCCCUCGACGCGCUUCCCCGGAGUCGCCAUCUACCUGGUCGAGCCUCGCAUGGGUCGCAGCCGCCGGGCCUUCCUCACACGCCUGGCGCGCUCCAAAGGCUUCCGCGUCCUUGACGCCUGCAGCUCCGAAGCAACACAUGUUGUGAUGGAAGAGACCUCAGCAGAGGAGGCCGUCAGCUGGCAGGAGCGCAGGAUGGCAGCUGCUCCCCCGGGUUGCACCCCCCCAGCUCUGCUGGACAUAAGCUGGUUAACAGAGAGCCUGGGAGCUGGGCAGCCUGUACCUGUGGAGUGCCGGCACCGCCUGGAGGAGGCUCUAGAGACACUGGCCGAGGCAGCGGGCUUUGAAGGCAGUGAGGGCCGCCUCCUCACCUUCUGCAGAGCAGCCUCGGUGCUCAAGGCCCUUCCCAGCCCUGUCACAACCCUGAGCCAGCUGCAGGGGCUUCCCCACCUUGGAGAACACUCCUCUAGGGUUGUCCAGGAGCUGCUGGAGCAUGGAGUGUGUGAGGAGGUGGAGAGAGUUCGGCGCUCAGAGAGGUACCAGACCAUGAAGGUACACAGGGCGGGGCUCGGACCUGCCCCAGGAAUGUCCUGCCCUGGGAAUGACAACACAGUCCACACCAUGCACGGGGAGGCAAGCAGAGGCAGCUGACCCAGCCCAGGGGUCAGAGAAGGUCUUGCUGAGGAAGUGGCAGCUAAGCUGACACCUGAUAUGCACAAGGCAGCCAAGUGGAGACAGGCAAGGAAGAAGCUUGUUUUGAGGACAGAAUUUUCUAGAUCACUCAGCACCAUCUGGCUUUUGGGGGUUUUUGUUUUAUUUUGUU